This 201-nucleotide long non-coding RNA is filed under the name Hordeum vulgare. RNAcentral's name for it is "long non-coding RNA (HVUL_LNC009375)". The record is from RNAcentral. Lineage: Eukaryota; Viridiplantae; Streptophyta; Magnoliopsida; Poales; Poaceae.
AGCACUCUUUUCUACAAGUUAUAGCCGAGCAUGAUUCUAUUUUACAGCGAUAUAGCGACACUGCAGAGAUAGGAUAGAACAUUGCAAAAACAAGAACUUCUUUGAUUGUCUAUUUAGCCAAUAGAAUGAUUCUGUAGGUUGAUUCUAGAGGGCAAUAUAAAUGAAUUACUGAUGAGUAGAAAACAGAUGUACAGAAGGCAU